AUAAUAGCCUGGCAGAGGAGAUAUCAUGCCCCUAAAGGUGGUUUUACCAGGGUGAGGUUUAUUCUUUGCACUAUAGAUGUAGUGAGCCCUGCAAUUUCCCCAAGUGCAGGAAACUCAUCUGCAUAAUUUGUGGUAGUGGGGACUGCUUCACCUUC
Molecule: small nuclear RNA, 155 nt
Filed under: Octodon degus (degu)
Lineage: Eukaryota; Metazoa; Chordata; Mammalia; Rodentia; Octodontidae
Description: U1 spliceosomal RNA (ENSODEG00000022422.1)
Rfam family: U1 spliceosomal RNA
About the family: U1 is a small nuclear RNA (snRNA) component of the spliceosome (involved in pre-mRNA splicing). Its 5' end forms complementary base pairs with the 5' splice junction, thus defining the 5' donor site of an intron.
Source: Rfam by way of RNAcentral